This 161-nucleotide small nuclear RNA is filed under the name Lasius niger. RNAcentral's name for it is "U1 spliceosomal RNA". It matches the Rfam family "U1 spliceosomal RNA". Rfam says of the family: U1 is a small nuclear RNA (snRNA) component of the spliceosome (involved in pre-mRNA splicing). Its 5' end forms complementary base pairs with the 5' splice junction, thus defining the 5' donor site of an intron. There are significant differences in sequence and secondary structure between metazoan and yeast U1 snRNAs, the latter being much longer (568 nucleotides as compared to 164 nucleotides in human). The record is from Rfam by way of RNAcentral. Lineage: Eukaryota; Metazoa; Arthropoda; Insecta; Hymenoptera; Formicidae.
ACACAUACUUCCGUUGAGGCUACCGUGAUCAACAAGGCGGCUCCUCCGGAGAGAGGCCUCAUUGCACUACCGGUUUGAGGCUGAUCUCUGAUAAUAUCUCUAAGAUAGAUAUGUCUAACGUAUAAUUUUUGGUAGUCGGGACUGCGUUCGCGCUGUCCCGC